AUGGACGACUACCUCAAGCUACAUCAAGUCCCUUCCGAAGAUCAAGUGAAGUGCGCCACAAGAAACUUCCACGACUACGCCUCGACAUGGUGGCUUCACACACCUUCGGAGAGCUACGAGAUGAGUUGGUCCAAGACGAAGAAAGUGAUGCGGCCAGAGUUUGUGCCUCCAACCUACAUGGAACAUCUUCAACGCCAAUUGGAGAACACCAUACAAGGAUCCAAGUCCCUCGAUGAGUACUUCAAGAACAUGAAGGAAGCCUUGCGACGUGCCGGCGUGGACGACCCCAUUUGGAUGAAGUUCUACUUCAUGAUGGGAUUGAACAACGACAUCUCCAAGACUAUCUUUCUCAAGAACUACAAGUCCCUUGACGACAACUACUUUGGUGCUCUCAAGGCGGAGCAAGAACUCAAGAAGGCCAAGUCUACUCGACCCCGAGCUCACUUCACAACGACCAUGCUACAAGACGGCGAGAGUGAUGAUGUGCCAUCUUCGGCCUUCAUUCAUGACGAGAGUGAUGACAUGCCAUCUUCGGCCUUCAUCGAUGACGACAGUGAUGAUGUGCCAUCUUUGGCCUUCAUCCACGACGACGACUACGAGAUGGUUGAGCAUGGGAUUCUACCUUCGACCACGGCAACGUAUGAUGACUUGAGUGACUUUUGCCACCAUAUUGAGAGUGAGAGUGACUUCACCACUAGCCCCAUAUAUGAUGAGCCGCCCCAAUUCCCAUGUGAGGAGAGCCACCACCACCACCACUUGAGUGAUUUGAGUGCCUCCACCAUAUGCGACAUUCAGUGCACCUACCUUGAGGGAGUGAGUGAGCCACCGCCACAUAGAGAGAGUGAGAUAGUUGAUGAGGCAUAUGAGGCCAUUUCGGUUUCUAACAACUUAUCCUCUACCUCUAUUGUGUCUUCUCAUUUGGUGCUAGGUCCCAUAUAUGAUGACGCGUCGAUCCUCAACGACUUCGUCCUCCCUUUGGACAUGACGAUGGCCAUGGUGGAAUAUGAUGCACCCCCACAUGGUUCCAUCAUGAUGAAGAUGAACACGAUUUGGUCUUCCCCACCUCACCUACACCACUUGAGUGGAACGACAAAGGUAACAUAG
RNAcentral lists this ribosomal RNA (1104 nucleotides) under Triticum aestivum (bread wheat). RNAcentral's name for it is "partial small subunit ribosomal RNA". Lineage: Eukaryota; Viridiplantae; Streptophyta; Magnoliopsida; Poales; Poaceae. The record is from RNAcentral.